Long non-coding RNA from Fundulus heteroclitus (mummichog), 1183 nucleotides. RefSeq lists it as uncharacterized. The record is from RefSeq and is a predicted model, not a curated record. The transcript is spliced from 4 exons. Lineage: Eukaryota; Metazoa; Chordata; Actinopteri; Cyprinodontiformes; Fundulidae.
UUGAUAACUGAGCGUGCAGUCAGUUAACUGUAGCUACGGGUGCUUCAUUGUGUUUAGCUCUUCUUUGCUAUGAGCUCUUCUGGUCUGAUGUAUCCAACUCUGUUUUUCUUUGUAUUGACAGGCAUGUCCAGGUAACUGCAGCUUGGAGACCAACUCUAAUUCAAUGAACAACUCGUCCACAUCUGAAGAGACAUGCGCCUUUCCUGGUCGUUUCAUUGAAGGAGUUAAAAGUCUGUCAAGAAACCCUCACUUUAAUGCAACCCUUGACAACCGGAGUGUCUUAGAACAUCUGGUCGACAGACUAGAACAAGCUCGUAGUUGCUCAACAAUGGUGGACAUGUAUUGCUCAGACAGCAGGAAAUCAGAUCCCAUCGUUUCAGCAAUUGAUCUCCAGAGCAAACUGAAAACGCUGAUGCAAAUGUACAAAUCGAAAUGUGGUAGACGAAACUGAGCCAUGCACCAAACUCGGAGCUUUGGAAAUCAUUGGUCAUUUUUUGGGUAAUUUUGUUGUUGCUGCAGGGGAUCAAUGUUUCUUAGCAUGUUGGUGAAGACAUGUAUGAAUGUUUCAUACCUCCAGACUAAAUUUGAUUAUUAUUUCUGUGUAAAUCCAUUUCCAUUCUCACUUGGAUUUUUGUGUUUUUACACUCAGUCCAGUUGUUCCACCUUUUUUUUUUUAUUGUAGGUCAGAACGAAUCUGGACAAAAUGUUGUAACCCAAGAAAAAAAAAUUACUAAUCUGCAUGAAGAAGUAGUCAAUGAAUACCUCUGUAUUAGUUUGUGACCAUUUCCCAAAGUUUCUUUUUUUUAUUACAAUUAACCACCUGGUGAUUCCAAAAAGUUUGUUAAACACUAUGUCAGUAUAAAACAGUACAUAUAUAAAAUGUAACCUUAUGAAGUUGAUCAUGACUUGUGCUACGUAGUUUUGAAAAGUUUACUCAUUAUUUAUUUUAUUUAUCAUUAAUUUAUCAAUAUGGUGUAGAUGCAUAUUGAGAUAUUUGUCUUUGGUUUUGUGUAUUUAUAUAUGUUAUAAAUGGUUGAGCUUGUUUGAUUUCAAUAUGUAACAUCAUACUGAUGUCUUAAGGCAUGAUGUAAGGAUCCUUUUCUAGUUUGGUCAUAUUGAACAGUGAGGACUAUUAAAUCCUAAUACCCUUGUCUUUUAUUUUUUCUGAAAUUUGUUUGUUGUU